ACUAACUCAACGACUAUGUAGGUGCCUAACACGAAAGUGUUAGGGACCUACAUAGUCGUGUAUUUUGGUGUCUGCUGGUCAGCAUCAAUUUCGAUUGUCAUAAAAAGGUCGAGGGGAUGUGGCUCCUUCGGGAGUGUUAUAACCCUUGGCGGAAUGUGGCGAUCGGGAUUGAGGCUUGCACGAUAACGAUUUCCCCUGGCCUCUCAUCGACGUCCGAAUGAUGGAAGCUUGCUGAAGUUGUUUGGACCGUUGGUGAAAAAGGUUGGAAGCGACCGA
Molecule: ribosomal RNA, 276 nt
Filed under: uncultured Entrophospora
Lineage: Eukaryota; Fungi; Glomeromycota; Glomeromycetes; Entrophosporales; Entrophosporaceae
Description: uncultured Claroideoglomus partial 28S ribosomal RNA
Source: RNAcentral